RNAcentral lists this ribosomal RNA (500 nucleotides) under uncultured bacterium. RNAcentral describes it as "bacterial SSU rRNA". It matches the Rfam family "Bacterial small subunit ribosomal RNA", at positions 8 to 518 of the family's 1533-position model. The record is from RNAcentral.
AGAGUUUGAUUAUGGCUCAGGACGAACGCUGGCGGCGUGCCUAACACAUGCAAGUCGAACGGAGUUAAUGAUUUCGGUUGUUAACUUAGUGGCGAACGGGUGAGUAACGCGUGAACAACCUGACCCAAAGAGGGGGAUAACAUUUGGAAACAGAUGCUAAUACCGCAUAAGACCACAACGUCACAUGGCGAAGGGGUCAAAGGAGCAAUCCGCUUUGGGAGGGGUUCGCGUCCCAUUAGGUAGUAGGCGGGGUAACAGCCCACCUAGCCAACGAUGGGUAGCCGAGCUGAGAGGCUGAUCGGCCACACUGGAACUGAGACACGGUCCAGACUCCUACGGGAGGCAGCAGUGGGGAAUAUUGGGCAAUGGGCGCAAGCCUGAACCCCAGCAACGCCGCGUGAGGGAAGAAGGUUUUCGGAUUGUAAACCUCUGUCGCAGAAGACGAAGGAAGUGACGGUAUUCUGUGAGGAAGCCCCGGCUAACUACGUGCCAGCCGCAGC